Molecule: long non-coding RNA, 287 nt
Filed under: Phoenix dactylifera (date palm)
Lineage: Eukaryota; Viridiplantae; Streptophyta; Magnoliopsida; Arecales; Arecaceae
Description: long non-coding RNA (PDAC_LNC004819)
Source: RNAcentral
AGAAAAAGGGAGAGACGGGCUUUCCCCUCUUUUGAGAAAGAAGAGUGUCUUUUCUCUAUUCUUUCUCUCUCCUGUCUCCUUUCUCUCUCCCUUUUUCUUUCUCUCUCUUAUUUUUCAGUUUCUCUCUCUACCUAGAUUGUCUCUCUCUUCGAAACUUUCUCUCUCUUUGGGACUUUCUCUCUUUAUGGAACUAUCUCGCUCACUCGACUCGUGGACUAGAUACAUUGAUGAUAUAGGAUGGCCUGUGCCAUCGACGAACCAAACUGAGAUCCUUGAUUGAACCCGGC